This 1179-nucleotide long non-coding RNA is filed under the name Mytilus galloprovincialis (Mediterranean mussel). Lineage: Eukaryota; Metazoa; Mollusca; Bivalvia; Mytilida; Mytilidae. The record is from RNAcentral.
CGCCGCCGCCACUGGAUCACUAUCCCUAUGUUGAGCUUUCUGCAACUAAAGUUGCAGGCUCGACACUAUGAUAACUAUUUGUGCAUAAAUACCAUGUAAAGAAUUUAGUGCACAAAAUAUUGUAGAUAACUUCUGAACUAAAUUUCUAUUAUGAAGCUUGUGCUGAAAUAUUGAAACCCAUUGUAAUUAAUUGCACAAUUAAAUUUUAGGAUUGAAAAGUAAAUGAAUUUAACUAGAAAAUUAAUCGAUGAAAUAUUUUUAAACACCUCCAAACAUUACAAAAACAAUAUUUCACUUCAACAGUAAAAUGUAAAACUUCCUUAAAAAUGACAUCAAAAUUGCACUUUUUUUAACAGAUGAUAAGUGUAUUUCUUGAUUAGAACAAUAAACAUAUGAAAUGAUUCACUUUUGUGAGCAUGCUUUAUAUGUGAACACUUUUAUUCUGAAAUAUCAAUAUUUUGAUGGCACAAAUGUAGACAUGUACUUUUAUGUUAGAGCUAAUGUCCAAAUACUUUAAGAGUAAGGCAUGGUUUGGCUUUCUUGCUUUGUUUGCAUAAAUGUUUGCUCAAGCAUUGUAAUAAAGAUAAACUGCUGCAAACAAUAUAGAUAAGCAUAGUUAAACCUGUAUAUAUUAUGUUAAAAUUUGAUUGAGCAUUAUCCCAAAUACAAUUGAACAAUAUACAAACAAAGCAAGCCAGCUAGACAUGUACACCUUACAGUCCUUCCAUACACCAAAUAAAAAGACCUAUUGCUUAUAGUAUCUGAGUUAUGGACUUGCAUUUAUUAUUGGGAUUGUUAAAUAUUGAACAAAAAGUGAAGAUUUAAUAUUGCUGCAAUAAUACUAACAAAACUAACAAAAUGUAAGCUUUCAUUUUUGAAAUGGUCAGAUUCUUAUUUAAAAUUUAUCAACUGGGUAUUAGGUCAUAGUAUAGUAUGUGGAAUGUUUAGAAGUCAAUUGUAAUAUGUAAAGUAUGAUUUUAUGGUGUCAGUGAUCAGUUGUUCAAUGAAUUAUAGAAAAAAAAAGUGAAAGUAAAGGCUAUCUUUUCAUUCUCUUAAAAUAUAAGUUCACUGAUUUUUACUUGAAAAAAAUAAAAUUUAACAACCAAUACAAUGUUUGAUUUUCAUAAAUACAAGUAUAAAUAAUAUAAAAAAACUAAACAAUAGAAUGUAGUUGACAAC